This is a non-coding RNA of Pelobates cultripes (western spadefoot toad), 72 nucleotides long. The record is from the annotation of a GenBank genome assembly. NCBI's taxonomy places the organism in Eukaryota, Metazoa, Chordata, Amphibia, Anura, Pelobatidae.
UACCAGGGUACUCUUGACACCUUAACCACUACAGGUUGCUGUAGUGGUUAUGGUGCUUGGAAUGUUCCCUUU